UUCUAUGGUCGGGCGACGUGUGGAAGCCGAAAGGCUUGCCUUGUGCUCUACGAGGUCUUGCAAACCCGCGUCCGCCCGGCCACCAGU
This 87-nucleotide non-coding RNA is filed under the name Rhizobium phage RR1-A. Lineage: Duplodnaviria; Heunggongvirae; Uroviricota; Caudoviricetes. The record is from RNAcentral.